RNAcentral lists this ribosomal RNA (327 nucleotides) under uncultured eukaryote. Its description in RNAcentral is "partial 18S ribosomal RNA". It matches the Rfam family "Eukaryotic small subunit ribosomal RNA", at positions 1470 to 1796 of the family's 1831-position model. The record is from RNAcentral.
CCCUUAGAUGUCCUGGGCCGCACGCGCGCUACACUGAUGCAUUCAACGAGUUUUUCCUUGGCCGAGAGGCCUGGGCAAUCUUUUGAACGUGCAUCGUGAUAGGGAUAGAUUAUUGCAAUUAUUAAUCUUGAACGAGGAAUUCCUAGUAAACGCAGAUCAUCAGUCUGCAUUGAUUACGUCCCUGCCCUUUGUACACACCGCCCGCCGCUCCUACCGAUUGAAUGGUCCGGUGAAGCGUUCGGACCGUGGCCUUUGGACGGUUCGCCGUCUGUUGGCUGCGGGAAGUUCGUUAAACCUUAUCAUUUAGAGGAAGGAGAANUCGUAACA